Eleginops maclovinus (Patagonian blennie) is the source of this 1305-nucleotide long non-coding RNA. RefSeq lists it as uncharacterized. The record is from RefSeq and is a predicted model, not a curated record. Lineage: Eukaryota; Metazoa; Chordata; Actinopteri; Perciformes; Eleginopidae. The transcript has 3 exons.
ACAAGGGCUAUAAAAGGGUCCAUACUGGGUAGUUUAUUCAGUUUAAAAAUAUCCACUGAUUUACAGACGUGUGUUUGCCAAUAUAAGUCAAUGGGAAAAAGUAUUUCUGCGCCGGGUGACGUCACGGACAGAUACGAAAGUUGAAGUACCGCUGUUUGGCCACUACCAAUAUUUUCCUCAGCGUCCAGCGGACUUCCUGGGGGCAUGUGUCGGACCAUAGACAUUUUAUAUCAUAGACGGAGCAUCGAACGCUGUGACGCAAGAAAUGCGGCUGCCAUCUUGGAAGUGUGGAUGGGGAGCCCGGGUGCAGCAUAAAUUGACAGUUGACAAGUAUGGCCAGGUAGCGUAGCGUCUACAGAAGCGAGAGAAGUAGAAUGCCAUGUCCAGAGAAAAGAGGGCAAAGACCACAGUGAAGGGUCUUUGGGGGGAUUUGAGGGAAAAUAACCUCAUUAAUGAAUAGCUCAGUGUGAAGCUUGCAUUCUACUCAGAUUUUAAGAUGAACUUCACGGCAGUGCAGGGCCAUGAGUACACACAGGACUGCAGAGAGUUUGCACUCACACUCCAUCUACAUGUUCCAAAGGCAUACAAAUACCUCAGAGAGACUCGACAUUUUCCCCUCCCACAUCCACAAACAUUACAAAGGUGGCUGCGUUCGGUGGAUGCCAAGCCUGGCCUGAACAAGAUGAUGCUGGAUAUGCUGGAAGAAGAUGCCAGGGUGACCCGGCUAAAUAUGGAUGUGUUUCACUCAUGUUGGAUGCCAUGUCCAUCAAAAAACAUGUGCAAUAUAAUCCACAUACCGAGUCAAUGUCUGGUUUUGUAGACAUGGGAGAUGGAAACAGUGAGACGGAUGUUGCUUCUGAGGCUCUUGUGUUGCCUUCAGUGUGUCUUGAACAACCACACAUAAAAGGUUGCACAUUUAUAUUAAUGUUGUGGAAUGCAUAUUUUAUCUUACUUGUCUAAAUGCAUACUUGACGGUAGAUAGAUUUAUGAGUGAAGUUACCAACACAAUAGAUUGGCCGUAACACACUCACCCAUUUUAGAAUAACAUUCUCUCUCUUUCUCUCUCUCACUCUCACUCACUCACUCACUCACUCACUCACUCACUCACUCACUCACUCACUCACUCACUCACUCACUCACUCACUCACUCACUCACUCACUUUCUCACAAACACACACACACACACACACACACACAGAGAAUGUUAACUUGUAUAUAUAUAACUUGUGUAUAAUUCCCAAUUUUUAUUGAUGUAUUUGCACUUUUUAAUCUUGCUGAAUUCUACAAGGCAAAUAAAUUCCCUGC